RNAcentral lists this ribosomal RNA (253 nucleotides) under uncultured bacterium. RNAcentral's name for it is "partial 16S ribosomal RNA". It matches the Rfam family "Bacterial small subunit ribosomal RNA", at positions 524 to 776 of the family's 1533-position model. The record is from RNAcentral.
UACGAAGGGGGCGAGCGUUGUUCGGAAUCACUGGGCGUAAAGGGCGCGUAGGCGGCCCUCCUUGUCGCGUGUGAAAGCCCCGGGCUCAACCUGGGAGCGGCGCGCGAGACGGGGGGGCUGGAGUUCGGGAGAGGAGCGUGGAAUUCCCAGUGUAGAGGUGAAAUUCGUAGAUAUUGGGAAGAACACCAGUGGCGAAGGCGGCUGACUGGUCCGGUUCUGACGCUGAGGCGCGAAAGCGUGGGGAGCAAACAGG